UAGAGUUUUGAUCCUGGCUCAGGAUGAACGCUGGCGGCGUGCUUAACACAUGCAAGUCGAACGAUGAAGCCCAGCUUGCUGGGUGGAUUAGUGGCGAACGGGUGAGUAACACGUGAGUAACCUGCCCUUAACUCUGGGAUAAGCCUGGGAAACUGGGUCUAAUACCGGAUAGGAGCGUCCACCGCAUGGUGGGUGUUGGAAAGAUUUAUCGGUUUUGGAUGGACUCGCGGCCUAUCAGCUUGUUGGUGAGGUAAUGGCUCACCAAGGCGACGACGGGUAGCCGGCCUGAGAGGGUGACCGGCCACACUGGGACUGAGACACGGCCCAGACUCCUACGGGAGGCAGCAGUGGGGAAUAUUGCACAAUGGGCGCAAGCCUGAUGCAGCGACGCCGCGUGAGGGAUGACGGCCUUCGGGUUGUAAACCUCUUUCAGUAGGGAAGAAGCGAAAGUGACGGUACCUGCAGAAGAAGCACCGGCUAACUACGUGCCAGCAGCCGCGGUAAUACGUAGGGUGCGAGCGUUAUCCGGAAUUAUUGGGCGUAAAGAGCUCGUAGGCGGUUUGUCGCGUCUGUCGUGAAAGUCCGGGGCUUAACCCCGGAUCUGCGGUGGGUACGGGCAGACUAGAGUGCAGUAGGGGAGAUGGAAUUCCGGGACGGUGGAAUGCGCAGAUAUCAGGAGGAACACCGAGA
Molecule: ribosomal RNA, 690 nt
Filed under: Micrococcus luteus
Lineage: Bacteria; Bacillati; Actinomycetota; Actinomycetes; Micrococcales; Micrococcaceae
Description: bacterial SSU rRNA
Rfam family: Bacterial small subunit ribosomal RNA
Source: RNAcentral